UUUUAUUGCAACUGAAAAGCACAAUAGUGACAUCUAUAAAAUACAAACACCAAAGUCUGAUUGGAAAUUUUAAUUUAUGUACUUUGUAAAUUGACAUGAAAUCAUGAAGGUUUCAUUAGUUUUGUUUUUGUGACGAUGCUCCAGAUC
This is a long non-coding RNA of Thalassophryne amazonica, 147 nucleotides long. RefSeq lists it as uncharacterized. The transcript is spliced from 3 exons. The record is from RefSeq and is a predicted model, not a curated record. NCBI's taxonomy places the organism in Eukaryota, Metazoa, Chordata, Actinopteri, Batrachoidiformes, Batrachoididae.